Molecule: long non-coding RNA, 794 nt
Filed under: Danio rerio (zebrafish)
Lineage: Eukaryota; Metazoa; Chordata; Actinopteri; Cypriniformes; Danionidae
Description: si:ch211-28e16.4 (ENSDARG00000095377.2)
Rfam family: mir-34 microRNA precursor family (bases 493-569)
Source: RNAcentral
GGCUUGUGGUCAGCAACAUUAACUGUGUUUGCCAUCUCAUCCAACUGACCAGUGAAAGACUGGAUAUUAGGAAACUGGAUAUUGGGACAGACUGAAGUGACAAAUAACUAUCACCCAAGUCUCUGCACUGGACCGGAAGUUUCCUGACCUCACCACUACUGAUUGGACUUCUGAUGUCGUCAUAACCAGGAGAAUGAAGGAACAUAUCCAGAUGUCCUGCGGACGAUGAGAGACAAUGCGUCAGCAGUAAGACGCCUCACCUAUACCGUCAUCUUUUGGAAAGCGAAAGCAGAACAAAGGUUUAUUUGGUCAGGGGAAAACUACCUCUGUCCCUGGCUGUCAUAUACAAGAACUGCGGACGUUUAAUGAGCAGAGGAUAAAGCAUCCAGGAUCUUACCUGCAGAAGACGGGACAGUCGUUAAAACAGGGAGACUUUCCAGAAGAUGCAGGAGAUGCUGAAGCGAGCGAGGGGUUCGGGCCGCUGCUGUGAGUGGUUCUCUGGCAGUGUCUUAGCUGGUUGUUGUGUGGAGUGAGAACGAAGCAAUCAGCAAGUAUACUGCCGCAGAAACUCGUCACCUUUAAAAGCCCAUUCAUCCAUCCAGUCAACCCCGCUCGAGCAUUCAGAGCCUGGAGAGAGAUGAGAAAAGACAGAUCUAGAGUCUGUGCAUGUUAUCAAGCUUCCCGUCUCAUUCAUUCUUCUAAUCGUGAGUGUCUGCUUUUGUUUCGUCUUUGCUGUUACAAAAUGUAGCCUGAGUCAUUUCAUUAGUGUUGAAAUUGAUUCAUGCUUACUGUAG